This 691-nucleotide long non-coding RNA is filed under the name Pan troglodytes (chimpanzee). Its description in RNAcentral is "long non-coding RNA NONPTRT012266". Lineage: Eukaryota; Metazoa; Chordata; Mammalia; Primates; Hominidae. The record is from RNAcentral.
UACAGGUGCACGCCACCAGGCCCGGCUAAUUUUUUAUAUUUUUGGUAGAGACAGGAUUUCGCCAUGUUGCUCAGACACUGGUCUCGAACUCCAGGACUCAAACUGGAACUGGGCUUAAACUCCUGGACUCCCGCCUCAGCCUCCCAAAGUGCUGGGAUUACAGGCGCCCGGCCUCAGGGCCCUUUUCUUAGAGGGAGUGGAGAACUGGCCCAGGUGGGGGAGUAAGACAAGCUGCCACCUAGCCGGGCUGUGCCUGGCUGCCGUGCCUGAAGAGCCCACCGUGGAUUCUCUCCAUGCUGGUCGGGCAGCAGCCGAGGGACUGACCAGAGAGGAAGAGCAGGAUCCCAGAGGAAGGGGAAUGAACUCCAUUGCCUUUGUGUGCACGAAGCCGGAAGCACGACCACUCUUCACCCUCGGCCUCAUUACAACACCAAGACCUCUGCCUCGGCGCGGGAGCUCUCACCUGGAAUCCCAGCACCUUGGGAGGCCGAAGCGGACGGAUCACCUGAGGUGUCAGGAGUUUGAGACCAGCCUGGCCAACAAGGGACGCUCACCUACCUCAUGAAUUACGCGUGUCGCCCUCCUCAAGACGCCACAACGCACUCCCCUGGGGAGCCAGCUGGAGACCUCUCCCUGCGGUGCUGUCUCCUCCGUGGUGGAACGGAAGCCCCUAAUAAAGCCUUGUCUGGGA